Molecule: ribosomal RNA, 309 nt
Filed under: uncultured Glomeromycotina
Lineage: Eukaryota; Fungi; Glomeromycota
Description: LSU rRNA
Source: RNAcentral
UUGAAAGGGAAACGAUUGAAGUCAGUCAUGCCGACGGGAAUCAACUUAGAGGAAACUCUGGGUGCACUUCUUCGUUUGGCAGGUUAGUGUCGAUUUUGGAUGUCAUAAAAUAAUUGGGGGAAGGUAGCUCUUUCGGGAGUGUUAUAGCCCUUGGUAGAUGUGAUGUCUGGGAUCGAGGAUUGCAACGGAUACCUUCGGGGCUAACCGCCUGAUCUCUAAUUGGUGUUGGGUUACGGACAGCAUGCUGUCCUUUUCUAAUUACUGGUAAAAGGUUAGAGCGUGUAUAACUUCGUUAAGGAUGUUGACGUA